This 793-nucleotide ribosomal RNA is filed under the name uncultured Flavobacterium sp. RNAcentral describes it as "bacterial SSU rRNA". It matches the Rfam family "Bacterial small subunit ribosomal RNA", at positions 1 to 795 of the family's 1533-position model. The record is from RNAcentral. Lineage: Bacteria; Pseudomonadati; Bacteroidota; Flavobacteriia; Flavobacteriales; Flavobacteriaceae.
CCCUUAGUUUGAUCCUGGCUCAGGAUGAACGCUAGCGGCAGGCUUAACACAUGCAAGUCGAGGGGUAUGCUUCUUCGGAAGCAGAGACCGGCGCACGGGUGCGUAACGCGUAUGCAAUCUACCUUUCACAAAGGGAUAGCCCAGAGAAAUUUGGAUUAAUACCUUAUAGUAAUACGCCUUGGCAUCAAGAUGUAUUUAAAGAUUUAUCGGUGAAAGAUGAGCAUGCGUCCCAUUAGCUAGUUGGUAUGGUAACGGCAUACCAAGGCUACGAUGGGUAGGGGUCCUGAGAGGGAGAUCCCCCACACUGGUACUGAGACACGGACCAGACUCCUACGGGAGGCAGCAGUGAGGAAUAUUGGACAAUGGGCGCAAGCCUGAUCCAGCCAUGCCGCGUGCAGGAUGACGGUCCUAUGGAUUGUAAACUGCUUUUGUACAGGAAGAAACCCUUUCACGUGUGGAAGAUUGACGGUACUGUAAGAAUAAGGAUCGGCUAACUCCGUGCCAGCAGCCGCGGUAAUACGGAGGAUCCAAGCGUUAUCCGGAAUCAUUGGGUUUAAAGGGUCCGUAGGCGGUCAGAUAAGUCAGUGGUGAAAGCCCAUCGCUCAACGGUGGAACGGCCAUUGAUACUGUCUGACUUGAAUUAUUAGGAAGUAACUAGAAUAUGUAGUGUAGCGGUGAAAUGCUUAGAGAUUACAUGGAAUACCAAUUGCGAAGGCAGGUUACUACUAAUGGAUUGACGCUGAUGGACGAAAGCGUGGGUAGCGAACAGGAUUAGAUACCCUGGUAGAAGGGC